GGGUGAGUAACACGUAGGUGACCUACCUAACAGUGGGGGAUAACUCGAAGAAAUUCGAGCUAAUACCGCAUACGAACAACCGACUUGAAUGAGGUUGUUGAAAGAGUGCCUCUGCAUAUGCACUCGCUGACUGAUGGGCCUGCGGGACAUUAGCUUGAUGGUGGGGUAACGGCCUACCUUGGCGACGAUGUCUAGCGGAUCUGAGAGGAUGAUCCGCCACACUGGAACUGAGACACGGUCCAGACUCC
Molecule: ribosomal RNA, 248 nt
Filed under: uncultured bacterium
Lineage: Bacteria
Description: partial 16S ribosomal RNA
Rfam family: Bacterial small subunit ribosomal RNA
Source: RNAcentral